Molecule: long non-coding RNA, 389 nt
Organism: Sceloporus undulatus (fence lizard)
Lineage: Eukaryota; Metazoa; Chordata; Lepidosauria; Squamata; Phrynosomatidae
Exons: 3
Source: RefSeq, a predicted model, not a curated record
UCCUGUCAGGAGAAACCUGGCAGGGAAGCGUCUUCCAGGGCGGCCUCUCCUUGUACACUUGCCCCGGCUGAGUGGGUGCGGAGAGGGAGCCUUGUAGGCCCUCUGCUGAGAGCCACUGGGAGAGAGGGCUCAAAGGUUUCAGAAGAAAACAACGUUUCUUUACUAUCUUCUUCAAAGAGUAUAUAUGCACAAUUAAUCUCAAAAGAGCCUCCGUUUUCAGCUGCAAGUCACCGCUGCAAUAUUGCUGCUUGGUGGUGUCCCUAGUAUUGCCAUCACCUGGAGCCAGGUGCCCAAAUGCCCAUCCAGGUGCUGCUCAAAUGGCACUUAAAGGCAUUCACACCUAAGCCUGAUGAGAAGAUAGAAGGGGCAUGUGAAACCCAGUGUCCAAC